RNAcentral lists this ribosomal RNA (867 nucleotides) under uncultured bacterium. RNAcentral describes it as "bacterial SSU rRNA". It matches the Rfam family "Bacterial small subunit ribosomal RNA", at positions 57 to 918 of the family's 1533-position model. The record is from RNAcentral.
GCAAGUCGAGGGGCAGCACGGUGUAGCAAUACACGGGUGGCGACCGGCGCACGGGUGAGUAACGCGUAUGCAACCUGCCUACUACAAGGGGAUAACCCGUUGAAAGACGGACUAAUACCCUAUAACACAGGGAAUCCGCAUGGAUAUAUUUGUUAAAGAUUAAUCGGUAGUAGAUGGGCAUGCGUUCCAUUAGCUUGUUGGUGAGGUAACGGCUCACCAAGGCAACGAUGGAUAGGGGAACUGAGAGGUUGAUCCCCCACACUGGAACUGUGACACGGUCCAGACUCCUACGGGAGGCAGCAGUGAGGAAUAUUGGUCAAUGGACGAGAGUCUGAACCAGCCAAGUCGCGUGAAGGAAGACGGCCCUACGGGUUGUAAACUUCUUUUGUAAGGGAAUAAAGAGUCUUACGAGCUAAGACGUUGCAGGUACCUUACGAAUAAGGAUCGGCUAACUCCGUGCCAGCAGCCGCGGUAAUACGGAGGAUCCGAGCGUUAUCCGGAUUUACUGGGUUUAAAGGGUGCGCAGGCGGCAUGUUAGGUCGGCGGUGAAAUUUUGCAGCUCAACUGUAAAAGAGCCUUCGAAACUGGCAAGCUUGAGUGUGGAUGAAGUAGGCGGAAUUUGUGGUGUAGCGGUGAAAUGCAUAGAUAUCACAAAGAACACCGAUUGCGCAGGCAGCUUACUAAACCAUAACUGACGCUCAUGCACGAAGGCGUGGGGAUCAAACAGGAUUAGAUACCCUGGUAGUCCACGCAGUAAACGAUGAUUACUGGCUGUUUGCGAUACAAUGUAAGCGGCUGAGCGAAAGCGUUAAGUAAUCCACCUGGGGAGUACGUUCGCAAGAAUGCAACUCAAAGGAAUUGACGGAA